Molecule: long non-coding RNA, 857 nt
Filed under: Vulpes vulpes (red fox)
Lineage: Eukaryota; Metazoa; Chordata; Mammalia; Carnivora; Canidae
Description: lncRNA (ENSVVUG00000029640.1)
Source: RNAcentral
AUGAAGAACAUGUGGUCACUAGCACGCUUUAGUAUUUUGGCUUUGACACGUGCUAGAGUGCUAGCAGGUUUACCCAACAUCACUGAAAAUUCAACACGGGAAGGCAAAUCACGAUUUGCUGCCAUUAUGAAACCUUUCACCUGGGGGCACUUAAACAACAUCUGGAUGUGUCUUGGGGGGGAGCCUUCAGAGGCUCCAGGCCCACACUUUAGACACCACUGCCUGACGCUAAUCAUGGCCCAUCUACAGGCCCGGGUUAAAGUCAGCUUCCCCCAGACAGGACCUUGGUUGGGGAAGGAUGGACAUCUGAUCCGAACGAAAAUCUUCAGGUCAAGAGGGAAACAGACGCACAGACCUCGACUAACAGAACCAAAGGCCCCACAGAACCUGUUUCCACUCCAUCGAAUGAAAUUCCACCCGGUUAUUCAAGUGUAAACCUGGAAGGCAUUCCUCUCCCCUCCUUCCUUCUCAUUUAUCACCACCAGUCAAUUAACUCCUGUGGAUGAUCACACCUUUCAGCUCUUGUCUUAGUUUUAUUUGCCCAUGCAAUAGGGAAGUCCCAUCCCCCCUCCACAUGCACCUCACCGGGGUCAUGAUCUCAGGGCCUUCAUCUGUUCUCUCUGAACCCCAACAGAGUGGGUGGGCUAUAUAGUUAGCGCGUAUACACUUGUUGAAUCAGUAUUUGUGAAAGCCUGAAACAACACCCGCCCCAGCCCAGCUGCACUUCAUCUGAGCUUACUUCCCUGCCCCAGACAUAAUCCCUGUCAUCAGUGUGGCUUCUAGACCUUUGUAUGUAGAAAUAGACUGUUUCAGUUUUUACUGAAAUGGGAUGGUAGCGCAUAGAUCAUUCAACCUUU